GGGAGAAUCCUGAAUUCGAAAGGGGCCGGAUUCAAGUCCUACCGCGUGUUUGCAGGUCGUCACUGCAAGAUGCUGCUGGUCGCCCGCGGCGGUUCAUUCCGCUUGCGGUGUCGUUCCUGGCGUGCACUCGGCAGGGGGCUGCACCUGGCACCGGAGGGCCGCACUUCCUCCCUAGUAGAAACGUCGGGACCCGUUGGGUGUCGGUCUAAGGCUCGGGAUGGCAGACCGCGUGUCCUGCGGGGGAUCCCGCAGGCGUGCGGACUCCUGGUGACCCGACCGACUGCCCGACGGUAUAACCAGAGGGGUCGAUCCGCUGAAUGGGAAACACUUUGGUUUGUGAAGCGUCCGGCCCAACGCUGAUGCGUGCAGAGAAUGGUGAAAACCGGGGGCUCCCUUGCGGUGCAUGGUCCCGGCUCUGCUGCGUCUUCGGGGUUUGGUGUCCUCGGACCGGAUCAGCACCCCCGUCCCCGACGACCACCUUCGGAUGGUCUCCCG
RNAcentral lists this ribosomal RNA (495 nucleotides) under Orthonecroscia cf. fuscoannulata SB0429. RNAcentral describes it as "partial large subunit ribosomal RNA". Lineage: Eukaryota; Metazoa; Arthropoda; Insecta; Phasmatodea; Lonchodidae. The record is from RNAcentral.